Molecule: ribosomal RNA, 253 nt
Filed under: uncultured bacterium
Lineage: Bacteria
Description: partial 16S ribosomal RNA
Rfam family: Bacterial small subunit ribosomal RNA
Source: RNAcentral
UACGAAGGGGGCUAGUGUUGCUCGGAAUCACUGGGCGUAAAGCGCACGUAGGCGGGUCUUUAAGUCAGGGGUGAAAUCCUGGAGCUCAACUCCAGAACUGCCUUUGAUACUGAAGAUCUUGAGUUCGGGAGAGGUGAGUGGAACUGCGAGUGUAGAGGUGAAAUUCGUAGAUAUUCGCAAGAACACCAGUGGCGAAGGCGGCUCACUGGCCCGGUACUGACGCUGAGGUGCGAAAGCGUGGGGAGCAAACAGG